ACAAUCAAACAAGAACAUGCACGAUCAAUCACACCAACAUGAUUCAGACCAGGGGUGCUACUCUCAAAUACGCACACUCACCCAUUCCAAGAAUGAUUUCACUUACUGUAUUCUUUACACUUCUGAUCUAUCUGAAACCCUCUUCAUAAUCUUCUAACUACUACUAGAACUCGACAAGAACCACUUGGUGAAAUCCCUAGGCUAUUGCAGUGAAUCCAGGUUGAACAAGAAUAUUGAACAGCUUACUUCUAGAUAGCAACAACUCUUCCAAU
This 272-nucleotide long non-coding RNA is filed under the name Brassica napus (rape). RNAcentral describes it as "long non-coding RNA (BNAP_LNC000494)". Lineage: Eukaryota; Viridiplantae; Streptophyta; Magnoliopsida; Brassicales; Brassicaceae. The record is from RNAcentral.